UCAUGUAUCAUCCAAAAACCAAGACCACCUUUUUCUUUAACAAUAGAGUUUUUUUCCUAUUCAGAUAACUUUAAUUAUUAAGUUGCUUGUUUUGGUUCUUUUUGGAUUAAAUUUGGAUCAGUUUUUAUUUAAUUUUAUUUUAAAAAAUUAAAGUAUUCAAAUAUAUGAAGUACAUGAAAAGCUAAUAAAAAAAUUUAAACUGCGCAGAAGUAUUUGAAUUAGCAAAAUAGUUUUUAUAAAAACUACCAUAUUUUUCAAAAAUAUUUUAGUGUAUCUAUUUUAUAGAAGAGUCAAAAAAUUAAUAUUAUUAGUUAACUUUGUACUUUUGAGAUACUAAUUUAAAUCUUUCUUUCAAAUUAAUCCAAUAUUUGAAAUGCUUAACCUUGCUCUAUUUGAUAUCUUUCUGAAAUCAAUUAAAUUUUACUAUUUUUUUAGUCGGAUUCAAAUUUUAGGUUUAGUUAUAAAUGAUCAUGCCUAAUGUUUAAAUCAUGACUGUUAUAAGAUAUUUAUAUCUUGAGAAUAAUAAUAAUAAUAAUAAUAAAUGGGUUUUAUAUGGCAACAUGGAUCACGUGGAUGAUGUAAUUUAUUACAUCGAAUCAAAUAUAUGAUCUAACAUAUACUAAAAGGAGAAUAUUCUGAGUGUUUAGGGUGUCCACGUGUCAAAAUAAAUCAACCUAUCACGAGUUUACACUUCAUCAGAGUCUCCACGUCAGCCAGCUGCCUUCUUUCUUUCUCUCACGCGCCUCCUCUAACAACCCAAACGUCGCUGUUACGAAACUUCGUUCUUCUCCACCUUUAACUAUCUCCCUCCUCCAUAACUGAUAACUCCUCAAAUCCUUUUUUUUAAUUCCUCUGUUAUGACCGCAACACUCGAUGUCAACUUCUAGCUACGGCAAAUCUAACCAUGUUCCUUCCUCUUUCUGUUAUUAUCCUUCAUCUUCCUUGCCUCAUCGCCUCCUUCUCAUCAAGUAAGGAGCUUCAGAUAUUUGACGCUCUACCUCUAUGGAACGGAUCAGAUUAGGAGAAGAAAGUUCUUUAAGAGCAAGGUUCUGCCUCAGAAACUUAACAGAUAGAUCUCUUAUUCUGAAGGGAAGCACAAACCAUUCACGGGAUGAAGUUUCCCAAUUUGCAGAUCAAGUUUUUCUCUACUCCGAGUGCACCGAACACUGUUAUCAAAUCAAAAAGCUCUGGUGGGCAAUAAAUGCGUCAAGAAAAUCUUAUGGUUUCUUGGAAGGAUGAUUUUGUUUGUUGGGCAUCUGUAGUCUUCUCAGGGAAUCUUCCGGUUCCGGUCUUCUCUCCACCUCAAAUACAAAAGCGGUCAGCACAUGUUUGCAGCGUUAGGACGUUUUGCAAGACAGGAAAUCGGUGAAGAAGAUAGUAAAUGAAAGUUGUAACAAAUGAGGUGAGAGAAGUGAUAUCUCACUUUUUGUUUCCUUUUUUACUUGGAAAGAUUAUAUGAGAUUGGUUAAUACGGAGGAGAUGUGGCAAACACAAGAUAUUCUCUGCAUGAGCAGAUUUGAGACAGAUGUGGGAAAAAUUAAAAUGACUAGAAUUUGACCUGGAUUGGUUAAUACUUAAAUAAGUAAUACUCCCCAUAAUGACCCGCUGAUGGUAGUAGACCUGUGCAAGUAGUGGCUGUUCCAACAUCAAAGGGUCAAGCACUUGCUGAUGAAUAUGGAAGCAAGUUCUUUGAAACAAGUGCCAAAACAAAUCUAAAUGUGGAAGAGGUUUUCUUCUCGAUAGCAAAGGACAUUAAGCAGAGACUCACAGAUACUGACUCGAGACCAGAGGAUGAAAAGAAGUGUAUAGCCGGCAGUUUUUGUGACAUGCUCUUCAUAGCACCGUCAGACAGGAGCUAAGUGAUGGUAUGUAGGGUUACUUGACUCCAUGUUCAGGGGAGUCUCGCCUGCCUAUAUUCAAGCCCCCAAUGGAGGGUAUGGAGGACAUCUUGACCAACCAAGUCAUGUGAGAUCACUGACCUAGAUCACAGGUUUCUUCUAAUGGAAAGAAUGUACUCAAACUCAUCGAAUGAUACUUUGAAGAUAUAAGAAAAACAACAUCUAAUAAUUUACUUGAAGAUCAUAAUACUCCGGAGAAGAUACUAUUUCUUAUGUUUAUAUUUUAUUUUUUCUGACAUUAUAUGUUACACUACAAUUCUUUAGAUCAAUCUAUGGAACCAUUACUUUGUAAGGUAAUAAAAUAGUUCAAUACUCAAACAAAAAAAAAGUUUAGUUACACCAAA
Molecule: long non-coding RNA, 2242 nt
Organism: Brassica napus (rape)
Lineage: Eukaryota; Viridiplantae; Streptophyta; Magnoliopsida; Brassicales; Brassicaceae
Exons: 7
Source: RefSeq, a predicted model, not a curated record